UUGACGCCCGUUGGUUUGACUGCUGAUGAGAAGCCACGUGUGCCACUCAUAAAACAUCACACGCUACCCAUCCAUUUUUUCCCUUAUUUGAGUUACUAGAGAACAUGCCCCCCUGCCCACUUGUCACCUCUUAGCAUCAAAACUGCAGAAGGCCUAUUCCUUUGCCUGUCACGCACACUAGCCUUUAUCCAUUCUUGGAGUAGUGCGCGUUGCUGUCUUUCCGUUUCAAUACUGGCCAGAAGGCGCCACCUCCCACCCCACCCCUUUCCUCUUGUCUCUUACCCAAGCAUAAGAGAUCAAAGCUUGGGGGUAUGAGCAUGACCACCCAGUAUUGGAAAAUGAUCCUGCAAGUUGCAGUCUCCAAGGCCGAGGAGGUCAUUGGAUCAGAUGACCCUUCCACUAAACGAUGUCGUUCUGGAAAAGUUAGACCUAUGUGGAAGUCUGGAAGAAUCCAAAGUCUCUGGUCCACGUGGGAGAAUGUAAGUGGGAGUUUGGGAUCUUGGGGCUUAAGUCUAAGGGGAUGAAUUUGACGUUUUCCAAUCAGAGAAUAUAUACCACGUGUACAUUCAGCCAGAUAAACCUCCCCACAUGGACCUGAUCAUCUCCUCAUGCACACCACCCACCUCAUCAACUGCUUGUUGCUUUUCCCCUUCAAUAACCGCCUUCCUCUCCCGCUACUAAUCAGUGAUCACUCGGGUUUCUUUGCUUGGAUAUCACUUUUUGUCUUUUUGACUUCAGCAAUAUGGCCUCCCAUGGCAGCAUCAAAGUCGUCACAUCCCCCAAAGGUACCGCCAACGGCGACACGAAAUCACCCAAAGGCCACUGUCUUUGCUCACCCACCACGCAUCAGGGCUCGUUCCGCUGCAGGUUUCAUCGGUCUGCUACCAUGAAGCGAUCAAAAUCCAUGCCCUCCAAUACCGCCGUGACGUCCCUCUCCCCCAAAUCAGUCGACUCUACAUAAUUAACCACAUGUCUCUAGUAUUUCCUAACAUACCAAGUUCUCUGGGGUCUCUCCCUUUUUUCUCUUUGGUGUGAGGGUAUGAUCUAUCUGCACUUGUUCAGAUUCAGAUACACAUAUAAAGCCUAUUCUCUCUUCUCUCCUUUUUCUUACGUGAUCUCUCUGUGUAAGCUGCUUUUUCAAUUAUUUGCAGUCGCCAUGGAUGAUGUUCAUGAAUGAAUAUUGCACUCCAUAUUUAAUUUCUUCUGUUGAAUCAGAUUUCAAUCUGUUUUUCUUUCUUCUACAGAUCUUAUGAGAUUGAAUACCACUGAAUCAUGUUGUUCCACAUCUCACAAACCCACUCUCGUCCGCUCAUGGCAGAUGUGGAAGCAUGAAUUUCUAUGUAUUAUUCCCUUUUUUUUCUGGACCAUAAUCAUAAAAGAAUGUUGUGAAUCUUUGUGAUGA
This is an RNA transcript of Vitis vinifera (wine grape), 1402 nucleotides long. RefSeq lists it as uncharacterized. NCBI's taxonomy places the organism in Eukaryota, Viridiplantae, Streptophyta, Magnoliopsida, Vitales, Vitaceae. The transcript has 2 exons. The record is from RefSeq and is a predicted model, not a curated record.